CAGGCACGCCGGGGAGGAGGCUCGCAGCCGCCUCAGGAAUGCGCGAUGGCCGCAGGCCGCAGCAGUGUUUUCCAAAGAGUAAAUAUUAUGGAAAUAUUUCACUUCUCCUCCAUGUGACCACCUACAUGCAUCGAUAGAAAGCAAAUCCAGACUUCAAAGCAUCUGACAAGAGGCAGGCAGACCUUGUUUCGUCAUCCAUCCAAGAAAGGAGCUGCAGCACAGAGUGGCAAGGCUUCCCCAGCAGUUUGGAAGUUAACCUCUGAGGACACCCUCAUGCAGAGAUGGCAGCAGAAGGAGACAGAGCAGUGUGGCUGGGAAGCACUGUGAGAAGCUGAAAUCUCCUUUUCCCUCAUGUCUGUGGGAUUCCCAGCACAUCUGCAUUGUAGGGAGGCUGUGUGCCAUCUACAUGCCCCACUGUUAAGAAGAGGAAAGAAGUUUUAUGAUGACAAAAGUGACACCUGAGGAAACCAGAGCAUAACAUCUCUGCUGGCUGGAAACAUGUAUUAAAGGAGACUUCCAGAGUUUAGCUUAGUGCCAUGUAGUCCUCCUUUUCAAUAUGGAACUGGACAGAAUGUAAAAGCACGCACCUCUGGGUAAGCAGCAGAUCCUGCCCUGUCUCUGUUUCAGCCUCUAUGCAGCAACGUUUCUUACACACAAAGAAUUCAGGCUCUCUACACUUCCUCAGAUCCAAAAUCAGACCUUUUCAGGUUCCUCUUAGACCCAUAAAAAACAAGGGUGGGAGUGGAGAGGGAGAAUGAGGCCAGUAACUGUUAAAUCCUGCCACGUAGUAGCCCAGGGAAGAGAAAAGAAAUUGCAGGCUCAGAGCUGUAUUAAGCACAAUAAAUUGCCCUUACCCCUUAGCAAGCCAUGAGAGGAUGGACAGUCUGCUGGGGUGGAUCCCAGACAUGGGCGAGUGCCUUUCCCAGCGCAGAGGCUUGUCCUCUGUGACCUUGGGCAAACCAUUUAACCUCUCUCCAUAUCACUGUUCUGUUUCUGAAAUGAAAAUAAACUGCAGUAAUGCACCAGGAAAGCUAAAUGUGGUGGUGAUUACGAGGGGCUCAGAUGAGGAUGAAGGUGAGAUAAAUACUUUAGACAGAUUAAAAAAAAAAAAAUCCUUCCUCUACUCCAGUGAAACCUUCAAACAUUAAACUCAGCUUCUUGGUA
This is a long non-coding RNA of Vidua chalybeata, 1164 nucleotides long. RefSeq lists it as uncharacterized. The transcript has 7 exons. The record is from RefSeq and is a predicted model, not a curated record. Lineage: Eukaryota; Metazoa; Chordata; Aves; Passeriformes; Viduidae.